CUUGUCAGUAAAGGAUGUUUCAACUGUACCUUCUGACUGUUGUUUAAACAACUAAACAGAAAGGUUUUUUGCUCAACUGUUGAUAAAACUUGAUUAUGAUAUAUUUCAUUGUCAGCAGGUUUUUCUACAGGAAUUCAGAGUAACAUGGUCCAAGCCCAUGAGAAACCACAGCUUGAAGCUGCAGUGCAGAAACAUCUCUGAGCUCACAGCAGCAGCAACACCCAGGCUCUCGAGUUGCCCGACUACAGAGGAGCAGGAGUUGUCCCACGCUAAAGCCCUGUGAGCACCAGGACUUCAUGCUGUGGAAAGUCUGCUAACGCAGAGCCAGUCCCUGAAGGCAUGAUCUUGCACCAUUAUCUCUGGUUGGAAGCUGCCUCUAACUUCUGUAACACUGUCUGUGGGUCUGUAUGAAGGAAAGGCUCAUUGCUCUAGUUACUGGCCUCGUGUUUCCAAGAAUCCAGAAGCUGCAGAAGCCAUGUCCAGUUUAGAUCUCUCCUACUCUUCCCACCAGAGACAGUUUGAACGGCAAGAUGCUCUAAAAUUGGAAUGGAUACCACUGGAGAUGUCUUCCAGCACAACACUGAAGAUAGAUGUUUCUCCUGAACUGGUUUUGGCAACACUCCAGGAGUACAUUUAGCACACACGUCCCGUGAUGCAGUGUACAGAGAGAUCUUCAAAAAAGCCUUAGAGCAGGAGUCAUCACAGCAUGAUAUUUCUAAGAGAGGUUGUAAUACAUUUCUCUGGCCAGAGUGGAAGUCUUCGGUAUGCAGGCUGCCUAGAUUAGAAACCUGUCCUUGAAUACAAUAUUAUUAGUGCUUCGUUUCUCAAAUCCCUGAUAUUAGCACCUUUCCUGUAAAGCUUAUUAUCAAAAAGUUGUUGCAAGAAUGUAAAACUGAAGUUGGAGUUCAAAGGUUUGCUUAAUGUGUUCUUAAAAAAAACAUAAAAUACAUGUAGGCUAGUGCACACACACACAUAGACAAAUUCUAGUGAGAAGGGUUUAUUUAGCAUAGUUAUUUCUAUAGCUGAGCUAGAAUAUGAUGCCUGAAGAAAUCAUCAGUUCCAUUAUUCUAAGAUUUUUUUUUCCACAGAAGGCUCAUUUAUUAUAAGCCCUAAUAUAAAAUAAUGAAUAUUUGUUUUAAGUCAAGUCAAUACCAGCACUAGUCUCCCGGGGAUAUGUGCAAUUUUGUGAUAACUACAAAAGAAUUUAUUCUGGAGUAAACUAUACUGAAUCUAGUGUUGGCAUCUAAAGUGCGCUUAUUGGUAAUUUAGCUUCUCUUCAGCAGAGCACUAGGGUACUUCUUUUUUUUUUUUUAAGCAUGCAGGUAGUCACAAAGAUCGAUUUCAAUGGAACUACUCAUAAAAUCAAUGUGAUAAUUAUUUCUGCUUACUUUAAAGAUCUAACACUUCUAAUCUGAGAGGAAUAGGCUUUCCUAAAAAUUGUACUUUAAGAUCACAAUAAUAACAUUUAGUUCUAUCCAUGGAUCUCAAAGCAAUACAGAAAGAUUAGUACUAAUGGGAUCAAUAUAAGGAAAAUGUAUCUGCUUAUGACAAUUAAUUUUUGAAAACAAAUUAUGAAAAUAAACAUUUAUCUCUUGAUCA
Long non-coding RNA from Struthio camelus australis, 1599 nucleotides. Lineage: Eukaryota; Metazoa; Chordata; Aves; Struthioniformes; Struthionidae. The record is from Ensembl.